GACGAACGCUGGCGGCGUGCCUAAUACAUGCAAGUAGAACGCUGAAGCUUGGUGCUUGCACCGAGCGGAUGAGUUGCGAACGGGUGAGUAACGCGUAGGUAACCUGCCUGGUAGCGGGGGAUAACUAUGGGAAACGAUAGCUAAUACCGCAUAAGAGUAGAUGUUGCAUGACAUUUGCUUAAAAGGUGCAAUUGCAUCACUACCAGAUGGACCUGCGUUGUAUUAGCUAGUUGGUGAGGUAACGGCUCACCAAGACAACGAUACAUAGCCGACCUGAGAGGGUGAUCGGCCACACUGGGACUGAGACACGGGCCAGACUCCUACGGGAGGCAGCAGUAGGGGAUCUUCGGCAAAGGACGGAAGUCUGACCGAGCAACGCCGCGGGAGUGAAGAAGGUUUUCGGAUCGUAAAGCUCGGUUGUAAGAGAAGAACGAGUGUGAGAGUGGAAAGUUCACACUGUGACGGUAUCUUACCAGAAAGGGACGGCUAACUACGUG
This 497-nucleotide ribosomal RNA is filed under the name uncultured bacterium. RNAcentral describes it as "partial 16S ribosomal RNA". It matches the Rfam family "Bacterial small subunit ribosomal RNA", at positions 28 to 507 of the family's 1533-position model. The record is from RNAcentral.